RNAcentral lists this ribosomal RNA (460 nucleotides) under uncultured bacterium. RNAcentral's name for it is "partial 16S ribosomal RNA". It matches the Rfam family "Bacterial small subunit ribosomal RNA", at positions 338 to 795 of the family's 1533-position model. The record is from RNAcentral.
CCUACGGGAGGCAGCAGUGAGGCAUAUUGGUCAAUGGACGCAAGUCUGAACCCGCAAUGCCGCGUGCAGGAAGACGGCUCUAGGAGUUUUAAACUGCUUUUGUACGAAGGUAAACGAAGCUACGCGCAUAUGUAUGAAAGUAUCGUACGAAUAUGCAUCCGCGAACUCCGUGACAGCAGCGUCAGUAAUACGGAGGAGUGACGCGGUAUACGGGUUUAUUGGGUUGAACGGGUGUGUAGGCGGUAGGAUAAGUUAGAGGUGAAAUGCCGAGGCUCAACUUCGGAAUUGCCUCUGAUAGUGUUCGGCGAGAGAGUAGUGGCGGUAGGCGGAAUGUAUGGUGUAGCGGUGAAAUGCUUAGAUAUCAUACAGAACACCGAUUGCGAAGGCAGCUUACCAAGCUACUUCUGACGUUGAGGCACGAAAGCGUGGGGAGCAAACAGGAUUAGAUACCCGUGUAGUC